CACAAGCACCAGUGCUCAAUCGAAAAGCUCACUCACCAACCCCUAGAUAUCCGAUGUGGAUGCUCGCAGCACCGACAUGAGUCGAGAUUUCUGUUUUCCAAAAUCGUUACCGAUGUCUAGUUCUUCCACCCGCGUUCCCGUUGACUACACGUUCUCCAGCUCGUCUGUCAUGACGGCUGCAGACCCUAGUCCGGCUGCCUCAGAAUCAACAGAAAAAGCCCCCGCGGCCGCCUCGGUGACGGCGCCGAGCACAAAGGCAAGCAUACGGAGGCACCAGCAGAGCGAUGGCACGCCUAUUUCGGCCACCGCAAAGCGUGCUGUUGUGCGUCGCACUCCCAGUGGACGGACUAUCAUGCAGGUACGGCGCGCCGACGCGGCUCAGUCUAGCGAGUUGGCCAGUUACUCCGCCGCCGGUGGCGAGCAGCAGCCGUAUUCGAUUGCCACCGCAGCAGGCGCCGCGUGGACAGUGCGCGAAUUCGUGGGGAACUUGGCGAUGCUAAGCGUAGUGCGCAAUCGUGCAGCGGUGAUGAAGGAUUACAUUAAGAACUCUAACCUUCGACCAGCGUCUGUCGCCACCCCGCAACGAGAGCGUGACUGGGCCGAUCCAGCUGCCCAGCCCUUUGUACGUCGGCGUCGCGAGUUGAGUCUCGGUCCUACCGUCACUUGCUGUGCAUCCAAAGAGCAUCGUGACCGUGUCUCCACGCCGAUGGAGUUGGCUGCGCGCUCGGCUCGCAACAUGCAUACUUCUCGCGCAGUAAGGGAGCCUGUGGCGCCGCUUCCGUUCGAGCUGCUCUCGGCCAGUCGUCCUGUGCCGGAGCUGCCCGCAGAGCUAAAGGGGGCGAUCACUUCCUACUACCUAUCUCGUCUACGUCAGCUCUCUGUCGCGCAUCAGGUGCAUAUUGUGCACGCGAUGGCCCUCAAGAAGGACCGCAAAACAGUGAUAAAGUGCCUCAAGCAGCAGGAGCGUGCCUUUGCGCAGGCCGCGCAGCCGGCAGCGCCUUUACCGUCAUCGAUUACGGGGCGCUCGGUGAAGGGCAGACCUCAGACCGGGGCAGCACACCCUGUGCCGAAGAAUGUGCCGUGCCCCACCUUGAACGAGAAGAGCCGUCGUCGUGUGAUACGAGAGUACGGCGCGUCUCCCUGGAGACGACAGGGUGCGAACGCUGCGGAGAGUCAAGCCAUGGAUCGCUUCUGCCAGCACUUUGCGGUGGAGGCCUGCGCUGCCUUCCUUGAAAAAGCCAUGGACGUGUGCAUGGCCCGCCGCACUCGCUUCUAUCUGGAGCAGCCACCCAUUGCAAGGCAGCUCGGUGUCGUGCUACCAGAGGAGCAGCUCACACCGCUGUACGUCAUGGCGGUUGACGACCUGCUCUACAACAUGACCGGUUGGACGCAGCGCGAGGCACGGAAGUUCUCGCGUGCGGUGGUGGCCAUCGUGUGCCGCGGGAUCCUGAUGGUGGUAUCGUCGGCUACAGCGGAGAAAGCGGCAGCGGUGCACGAGCGCCCGCACACGACGCUUGCUGGCAUACCUUUUGCUCUGGAGCCCUCCCCCUCUCCUGGUACCCAUAGACCCUUGGCCGACAGCCAUCCCACAACAGCAGCAACGGCAACAGCAGGCCUGAAGGACAUGAAUAAACAACGCGCAGGUCGAUUGUUGGGCGCACCUCUGUGGGUGCCUGCGGAAGGGACUCGCUGAGGUGAAACACGUGCACCGACACCGACACCAAUGUCCCACCUUCCUGUCGGUCUUCUUGCUCUCGCUCCGCUUUUACGUUCCCUGACGACGAGGCACAGCUCCGUGCGUGGCAUCUCAGGGUCCAGCACCCCCACUGUGUGAGGAAGCCAGGCGGUCCCUCUGUCCCUGCCAAGUGCCAGAGCCACUUCCGGCGGUCACAGGGCCGAGCGCCUGCGACGUGGCGAAGUCAGGGCGCCUCAUCGCCACCGAUGCCGACGGCCACACCCUCGACGGCGUGGCGUCGGAGCGACCCGAGACCGCGAGCACGCCUGCACCAUCCAUACGAUCGACGAGGCGCCAGCGCGACUCGAACACAUCCCGCCCCGCCCUCGCCGCCCACCGGUGGAGGGAGCCUGCGCCACCGCGGGAGAUGCACCACGCGGCCACCGGCACAAAUGGGGAGCGGCUGUGAGGCGGCACUGCAAGGCGGGUGGGUGGGGAGGGCUCGAGGCAGAGGCCGUGCUGCGAUGCCCGAGUUGGCGCAGUGCCGCGCCGGCGUGUGUCUACGGCUGCUUCGCGCCACGCGACGGGUGGCCUGUGGCAGGGCAGAGUCGGCCGCUCGAGAGUGGAACGGGACCUCAUGCUGUGUGGAAGAGACGUGGACUCACGGUUGAAAGCCCCUCGUUGCCGUAUAUGUUCCGUGUUUAGUUUUGUGUUCGUUCCUUUUUGUUUUGGCGAUACUCCGAGGCGAUGAGAGGGAGGGAGGGAGGACGGGGUGAGGUGAAACGAAGCCGAAGGGAGAGAAGAGCGAUUGUGUGGCCGUAAUCGCAGAUGCCUUUUACGUGGCUGUUGCCUUCCUGUCUCUCCCUCUUCCUGGAAAGACGCUUUGUGGGGCGGGUGGGUGGCAGAGCCGCUGCGGAGGAGAUGCAGGCUGCCCUUUCGCGUACUCGCGCCUCUUGUCUGCGCUUUCAGCCCUGCUUGCGGUUCCGCCCGUCUCAUUAAGAUGUUCCCUCUCCAUCGCUUUCUCGCCGCGCAUCCCCGGCCCUCUUUUCCGCUUCAGGUAGCAUUGUGUGUACUUGGUCUCGUUUUCGGCUCCUUUUCUCCGCAACGCCGCUUCCUCCAAACACGUGGGAGGUGGAGGCGGCUCUGAUAUGUGUGUAGGCGUACGUGUGGUGUGUGUGUGUGGGGAACGGAAAGGACAGCGUGCUCCGGAUAUACUCACGGAGGAAGCCCAGGCGCAUGUGCAUAGAAUGUACACGUGAGUUUUUGCGCGCUCCCUCGCUCCACCUUUGCGUGCGUGCGUGCCUUUGCGGUACAGUUGUGGCCGGAGAUUUGUUUAAGCCGCUCCUCUUUUUCUCUUGUUACAUUCUCCUUUUGUGUUUGUGGUCGCGCAGUUCUUCCGCCCCCCUCUCCCUAUCCCUCCCCCUGUUUCCAAGCCAUCAUGACUCGUUGUCUACACGGCAUCUCUCUGUCUCUUCCGUUCUUCACCUCCUUUUUCUGCGCCGCUUUACUCCCAUUCUCUACCGCCCCUUCUAUUGACACGCACGUGCACACGUGCACAUUUUCUAGUUUUAUCUUGUGCGUCUUUCGCUGCCCCCCCCCCCCCCCCCCCCCCCCCCCAUAUCUGAACCAUUUCCGUCUUAUUCCUUCUUUGACCGUUCACCUACCCGUCUUAAGUUGCCUCUCCUUUCGCCGGCACCCCACUCCCUUCUUGCUCGCUCUUCUCUUGCGUGAAGGUCCGUGAAAGCCUAUCCGUGAGAAGGGCCUUUGUCACAGCAGACGCCGACGACACGAGCGCAAGGCGGAAAAGGGGGUGGGGUAAGGCGAGUGUGUAGGAAGCAGAAAAUGUGUGUCUACCAAGCGUUCACGACAACGACAAUGCAAGGUAAAGUGAUGAAGGAGCAUCUGUGCAGGCGUAGGAUGGAGAUCGCCAGCAGCAGCCGGAGUCGUUGCUUGUGUGUCUAUACGAGUUUCCGAUGCACGCACACACACUAGCGGGGGAAUGUUUUGUCUCCUUACCUUUUCUGUUGUACAUCACUUCACUCGUCCGACCUCAUUUCUUUGUUUUUUUUUUGCUGCGUUUCUGCCGUGCUGUCUCCUCCUUGACUCACCAUUCUUCUAUGCCCUUUAUAAUUUUUUUUUGCUGUUACUCAUGUGUAACGUACGAACGACAACGCCGUGUUUUGAUGUUGAUUGUAUUCGUAUGCGGGUUGCCUUUUUCUUGGUGGCUCACGGGGGAGGGUGCAGGGCAGCAGUGGCGAGGGCAACGACAUUGCCCUGAGCGACGAGGUGUCGCUUAUCACUGCACAGUCUGACCACUGCCCAUCUCUCGAUGUUGCCGCGGGCAUGUGCGUGUGUUUAUUUCUUUGUUCUCUAUUCGCCCCCAUUCACCUCUUCUGGCUUGACGAUCUUUGACGGCGACGGCCUUCUCUGUUUUGCUAUCUCCUGCCACCCUCGGGUCAGUUUAGUUGAUCCUCCCUGCACCGAUGACGCGGGUGGUGUGCUUUACGGAUGGCGCUCUCUCUCUGUAUGUGUUCCUCCGUUCUCUGUCUUCUCUUCCUGUUUUUGUUUUUGUUUCUUUUUGUCGUGCCCGUCUUCGGUUUCUGCGCCUCAGCGCGGACUUUUCGGAGCCUGUCCUGCGCAGAGCUGGCCAACUGCCGUUGUUCUCGUGCGCGUGUGCCUCUGGUGCAAGGCGGCUUAUGACGAACGGAGCGAGGUGCGUUGCAAGAACAAGCGUGAAGCAGGCGGAGGCAUCGAUGACCAAGGACUUACGUUGCAGAUGUCCAGAAUACAAGAGACGGAGUCCAAAGAACGUGCAGCUUUUUAUCAUAGUGAUGCGAAGAUGGACUGAGCUGUGGCACGACUGCCUCACUCGCUCUUUACAUUUCCUUCUACUUUCGUGCCCUCGACGCUUCUCGCUCUCCACCGGACAAGAGUACGGAGGCAAGGGGGCAAGCGCUCGCGGGAAAGGGAGUAGGGCACAUGAGGAAUACAUAAGAACCAAUCCACGAGGUUGAGAAAGCAGACGACUUUGGAGAGUGAGAGUGCGUGGCAGCGCAUCCCCUCGAGCUUGUCUUUGCGUGACGGUGCCAUUGCCCUCUUUCUUUUGUUUUCAAAUAUGUGUCUACUCCCCUUCCCCAUGACCGUUCUGCGAGACCUCAUCUCUCUCCCUCUUUGCUUUUUUUUUUCUAGUCGAUUGAUGCACACACGUACACAGACGCACGUGGAGUGUGCUCGUGCCGACAAUGCUGCACAGCAACGAACCAUCAGAGGGAGGGAAAAAAUAUGCAACAGGCAAGAUGAGGAACGGCUUAUACAGUACUUCUACUGCGAUGGUGGUGAAGGUGCAUGUGACACACACACACACACACCGGUAGGCAGUAUGCGAAACGCAGUGCGCAUGUGCUUCUCGCCUUUGUGCUCUUUCUUAUCUACCUCUUUGCUUUCUACGUGGCGGCCGCACGUGAACCUGGUGUGUACGUCAUGACUCUCUCUCUCGAUGCUUGUGCAUGGCCAUCCCGCUGCUCUCUCCCUUUCUCCUAAACAUGCCCUUUUUUUCGUCCCUCUCAUCACACCCUCCCUCUUGCGCGCGCAUCUGCCGCCCCUACCUCUACCUCUAUACGCGCACACCAAUGUAUGUGUGUGUGUGUGCGUGAGCGUGUUUGCCGAGGCACGCGUGUUCGUAUGUGCGCUACAACCCUGCACGACAG
Molecule: unclassified non-coding RNA, 5382 nt
Filed under: Leishmania donovani
Lineage: Eukaryota; Euglenozoa; Kinetoplastea; Trypanosomatida; Trypanosomatidae
Description: gene:LdHU3.17.1040(CDS-product:hypothetical_prote in_conserved)
Source: RNAcentral